GAUGAACGCUGGCGGCGUGCCUAAUACAUGCAAGUCGAGCGAACAGACGAGGAGCUUGCUCCUCUGACGUUAGCGGCGGACGGGUGAGUAACACGUGGAUAACCUACCUAUAAGACUGGGAUAACUUCGGGAAACCGGAGCUAAUACCGGAUAAUAUAUUGAACCGCAUGGUUCAAUAGUGAAAGACGGUUUUGCUGUCACUUAUAGAUGGAUCCGCGCCGCAUUAGCUAGUUGGUAAGGUAACGGCUUACCAAGGCGACGAUGCGUAGCCGACCUGAGAGGGUGGUCGGCCACCCUGGAACUGGGACACGGUCCAGACUCCUACGGGAGGCAGCAGUAGGGAAUCUUCCGCAAUGGGCGAAAGCCUGACGGAGCAACGCCGCGUGAGUGAUGAAGGUCUUCGGAUCGUAAAACUCUGUUAUUAGGGAAGAACAAAUGUGUAAGUAACUAUGCACGUCUUGACGGUACCUAAUCAGAAAGCCACGGCUAACUACGUG
Molecule: ribosomal RNA, 497 nt
Filed under: uncultured bacterium
Lineage: Bacteria
Description: partial 16S ribosomal RNA
Rfam family: Bacterial small subunit ribosomal RNA
Source: RNAcentral